GAAGUCGGUCGGAUGGCCGCCGGUUCGCCUUUGGCGGACGGGAGGAAAGUCCGGACUCCGCAGGGUAGGGUGCUGGGUAACGCCCAGGGAGGGUGACCUUACGGACAGUGCCACAGAAAAGAUACCGCCCACGUUGUCGUAUCGGCCGCGAGGCCCCGUGGGUAAGGGUGAAAAGGUGCGGUAAGAGCGCACCAGCGGCGUGGCGACAUGUCGGCUUGGCAAACCCCACCCGGAGCAAGGCCAAAUAGAUCCCGCCGCAUUAUGCAGAGGGCGGCCCGCGCUCGUGUCUCUUUUGGGGCAGGCGGGACGGGUAGGCUGCUUGAGCCCGGCGGCAACGUCGGGCCUAGAGGAAUGGUCAUCCGGCCGGGCUGCACGGCCCGGCCGUACAGGAUCCGGCUUAUAGACCGACUUCGGCC
Molecule: RNase P RNA, 416 nt
Filed under: Methylomirabilis sp. (SeqCode)
Lineage: Bacteria; Methylomirabilota (SeqCode); Methylomirabilia (SeqCode); Methylomirabilales (SeqCode); Methylomirabilaceae (SeqCode)
Also listed under: 1 other name
Description: RNase P RNA component class A
Rfam family: Bacterial RNase P class A
About the family: Ribonuclease P (RNase P) is a ubiquitous endoribonuclease, found in archaea, bacteria and eukarya as well as chloroplasts and mitochondria. Its best characterised activity is the generation of mature 5'-ends of tRNAs by cleaving the 5'-leader elements of precursor-tRNAs.
Source: RNAcentral